This 253-nucleotide ribosomal RNA is filed under the name uncultured bacterium. Its description in RNAcentral is "partial 16S ribosomal RNA". It matches the Rfam family "Bacterial small subunit ribosomal RNA", at positions 524 to 776 of the family's 1533-position model. The record is from RNAcentral.
GACGGAGGGUGCUAGCGUUGUUCGGAAUUACUGGGCGUAAAGGGCGCGUAGGCGGCCGCUCAAGUCGGGUGUGAAAGCCCGGGGCUCAACCCCGGAACUGCACUCGAGACUGUGUGGCUGGAGAUCGGAAGAGGAGAGUGGAACACCCAGUGUAGAGGUGAAAUUCGUAGAUAUCGAGAGGAACACCGGUGGCGAAGGCGGCGAUCUGGACGAUGACUGACGCUGAGACGCGAAAGCGUGGGGAGCAAACAGG